RNAcentral lists this ribosomal RNA (127 nucleotides) under Candidatus Faecivivens stercoravium. RNAcentral's name for it is "partial 23S ribosomal RNA". It matches the Rfam family "Bacterial large subunit ribosomal RNA", at positions 2800 to 2925 of the family's 2925-position model. The record is from RNAcentral. Lineage: Bacteria; Bacillati; Bacillota; Clostridia; Eubacteriales; Oscillospiraceae.
UAAGAUGAGAUAUCCCACUGGGUUAACCAGGUAAGACCCCUCAAAGACUAUGAGGUUGAUAGGCCUGAAGUGGAAGCGCCGUGAGGUGUGCAGCUUGUGGGUACUAAUCGGUCGAGGGCUUGACCAU